AACGAACGCUGGCGGCGCGCUUAACACAUGCAAGUCGGACGCCCUGUGGCAACACAGGGAGUGGCGAACGGGUGCGUAACACGUGGGUAAUCUGCCUCGGAGACCGGGAUAACUCGCCGAAAGGCGAGCUAAUACCGGGAGAGCCCACGGGACCUUGGGGUCCUGAGGGAAAAGGGUCGCAAGACCGCUUCGAGAUGAGCCCGCGGCCCAUCAGCUAGUUGGCGGGGUAAAGGCCCACCAAGGCAAAGACGGGUAGCUGGUCUGAGAGGACGACCAGCCACACUGGAACUGAGACACGGUCCAGACUCCUACGGGAGGCAGCAGUGGGGAAUCUUGCGCAGUGGGCGAAAGCCUGACGCAGCGACGCCGCGUGUGCGAUGAAGGUCUUCGGAUCGUAAAGCACUGUCGCCAGGGAAAAACCGAAGGGUGAUGGUACCUGGAAAGGAAGCACCGGCUAACUCUGUGCCAGCAGCCGCGGUAAUACAGAGGGUGCGAGCGUUGUUCGGAAUU
RNAcentral lists this ribosomal RNA (510 nucleotides) under uncultured bacterium. RNAcentral's name for it is "bacterial SSU rRNA". It matches the Rfam family "Bacterial small subunit ribosomal RNA", at positions 28 to 552 of the family's 1533-position model. The record is from RNAcentral.